RNAcentral lists this long non-coding RNA (1153 nucleotides) under Mus spicilegus (steppe mouse). RNAcentral describes it as "lncRNA (ENSMSIG00000012669.1)". Lineage: Eukaryota; Metazoa; Chordata; Mammalia; Rodentia; Muridae. The record is from RNAcentral.
GGAAGGGGGCAGAAGGGAUGGGCCUCCGCCCUCUCUCACUUCACUUUUUCUGUAGCGUUAUUGACCCGUCAUUAGUUAUCCGUCCAAGGUCGCCAGGUCUGGCCCAGCCAUAAAUCACCGCCGCUGGGGGGGCGGGGGGGGAGAAUUUGGGGGACUAGAGGAGCGAAGGAGUCAGUGCUGAACGCGGCCCGGAAGGGUAGCAGCAGACACCCGUCAGGCUCAUAGGGACCCGCCCCAGCCCUUGUGACCGUCCUUCUCGGCUCCCUCCCAACCCCAGGCUGCCCAGCGUGCCUGUCCCUCGGCCACUCUCUCCUGUCUCCGUCCAUCUCUUUCACCGCUGAAGUGUAUCUAGAUGGCUGCGCCAAGAAAAGGGUGACCAGAUUGUCCUCGGUCAUCUCCCUCAUAGCUCUUCCAGGUUAUAGCUUCCAUCAACAAGAACAGAAAUCCUGAAGGGGAAACUGAGGCACAGAGUCCUGGCCCGAGAUGAGUCUGAGAAGUCUCACCCGAUUCUCUCCUCGGUCACUUCAGUCCCUCCCUACUCCAGACGGAUGCUGCAAGGGUCUCUCCGCCCUCAGAAGGGAGUGGAUCUGCGUCUGCACCGGGCGGGACCUGCACUCGAGGAGCGGGACCCUUUCCCUAGCGCCCGGGUCCUAGAGGAGCGUGGCUUGGCCCUCCUCUCAAGAGCUCGCCCGGCUUAGCAGCGGACCUCUUCGCCGGUCCUCGCGCGCCCUCUGCCGGCGCCUCUCAGGAAACGCGCUCGCUGUCCCCGCCCUGGAUAUUCCCGUCCCGUACGACAGACCGAGGGCAGCCGGGAGCUCUGCAUGCCCCUGCUUUUGGAACACUCCUUGCACCAAGAUUCCAGAAAAUUCCUUUGUCUAUUCAAAACUGGAGGAGCGAGGACAAGAGAGCUGAACUUGAGGCAGGCCAGGCUCGGAGCAUAUGGGUCAGUCAUCCAUCACCUGCCACCUCCCUAGAGACCUUGGCAGGCCAGGUUUGAGGGACGAGAGGAAAGGAGGUGAGACAAAAGGCUCAGUGAGAUUUGAGCGGAGCGGAACAAGGGAAUCAGCUGGGCGGAAUCACGGAGACCUGAGUGACAUCCGUCUCUGACACAUGUUGCAUGAUUUGGGACAAUAAAAAGAACCUCUCUGGGACA